Long non-coding RNA from Biomphalaria glabrata, 1681 nucleotides. RefSeq lists it as uncharacterized. Lineage: Eukaryota; Metazoa; Mollusca; Gastropoda; Planorbidae. The transcript is spliced from 2 exons. The record is from RefSeq and is a predicted model, not a curated record.
AUUACUCUUCUUUUUUGUAAGGUUUAGCUGAUUUGCUUCACUUUCUUACCUUUUUUUUUUUUACACUUAUAAUAAACUUAGGAAAUCAGUAUUUGCUCAGGCUAUGAGCAAACCACAAACAUUACCAACUGAAAUAUACAGAAACUAGUUGACACAACAUAACCUGUGGUAAAAAAAUGGGUUAGCUGAUUUAACUAGAAAAAAAGCAGAAAAAAUAGAGACCACUCUAUUUGAAAAGUACAACAAUCCAAAGUUAUGUACUUAAAAUCCAACCAAAGAAAUGAAAAAAAAGGCAAACAUAAUGGGGGGGGGGGUCACUUUAUCACAUUGUCAAUGUUUGGGACUGUGAUAGAAGUUAGAAAAAAAUUAAUAAAAUUUGUACUAAUUAAAAAUAUAUAUAAAAAAAGUUUUUUUUAAACAUUGUGUUUAUUUUUUAGAUGGCCACCAUCUCCAUAGAGACCCAAAAGACUAGACUAGACAUGCCUAAAGCCUAUCUUCUUAACUAUAAAGUUAUAUAAAAAAAUUGAAAUUUCACAGUACAUCCCCCUUAUGUAAAAUAGGCAUAUUGAUCAUUUUCUUAUAAAAUUGAUUUAAUUUUAGCUCUUUAAGGCAUUCUGCUAAAAAUUAUCUUAAUUGAUUUAUUAAACUUAGAGGAUUUGAAUUUUGCUGAUGAUAUUUAGCUUCUAUUUCAUUUUUAAAAAUGUCAGUCUAAAAUUGGGCUAGCAGGCUACUAAACCAGAUUAUGAUAAUAAAAUGCCUAGUAGACAAUCUAUUACUUUGGAUGGAUGUCUGUUACAGUCUGUCAACAACCUGAGUUGUAUUAUGAAUGAAAAAAUGCUGAUGUCAAAGCAAUGGAUUGUCAGACUUCUGCUAGAUGUUGAUCUUUUCAUCACAACACCAAUAACUUCUUCUUGGAGUCAAGUAACAGUGUAUAUCACCUGAAAAAGCUAUUUAAAUUCCCUUAAAGAUCACAAAUUAAUGCUGAUGACAUAAAGCACAUUUAUCCACGAAAUCUUAUGAACACAUAAUAUUAUGUUGUACAACUAAAUAGUGGUGUCUGGAAAUUUAGGCAGUGUGUAUGUAGUGUAUAUGCUUAUUUAUUAUUUAUCUGUUUCUUAAACAUAGGCUUAUGUUCCCCGCGCUACCCAAACUAUAAUUCGGAGUGUGAAACAUAACAGAUUAACAGGUGCUAUAUUAUGUUUCGUUUAACAAAGAUUUUCUUACACUCUACAUAUUCCUCCCCCCCCCCGAGAGGUGGGCCAGGGGUAGUGGUAAGUAUUAUAAUCACGGACUGAGAAGACCUAACGGCGAGCGAGAAAGGGGUUACGUCGUCACUAGAUCUGUGUCAGCUCAAUACAAUUUUUUCUCUUCGUGGUGUAGUCUUAAUCAUAAACAGAUAAAAAUUAAAGUUUUAAGAUACUGUUAAUCUUCUAUAAUAAAAUGCUUAUUUCUUAUAGUAAUACGUUUCCCGUACUAGAUCUUUAUAAUUUAUUGUCAUUGCUCUAUAUAGUAUAGAUCACUUACUCACAAUGCAUACUUUUGUUGAAAAGAAAAAUAAUUAAACAUAUCGUGUAGAUAUAGAUGCGUGUUUCAUUAUGUUCGUGUAUAUUUUUGUUUUAUUUUAUCAAUAUUUCGCUUUGCUUGGUGACUUAAUAGAUAAAAAUAAAUCUAAUUGUUAAUA